RNAcentral lists this transfer RNA (82 nucleotides) under Armatimonadota bacterium. RNAcentral's name for it is "Armatimonadetes bacterium tRNA-Tyr". It matches the Rfam family "tRNA". From Rfam's summary of the family: Transfer RNA (tRNA) molecules are approximately 80 nucleotides in length. The record is from RNAcentral. Lineage: Bacteria; Bacillati; Armatimonadota.
GGGGAGAUACCCGAGUGGCCAAAGGGGACUGACUGUAAAUCAGUUGCGGAAUGCUUCAGAGGUUCGAAUCCUCUUCUCCCCA